This 497-nucleotide ribosomal RNA is filed under the name uncultured bacterium. RNAcentral describes it as "partial 16S ribosomal RNA". It matches the Rfam family "Bacterial small subunit ribosomal RNA", at positions 28 to 507 of the family's 1533-position model. The record is from RNAcentral.
GAUGAACGCUGGCGGCGUGCCUAAUACAUGCAAGUCGAGCGAACGGACGAGAAGCUUGCUGCUCUGACGUUAGCGGCGGACGGGAGAGUAACACGUGGAUAACCUCCCUAUAAGACUGGGAAAACUUCGGGAAACCGGCGAUAAUACCGGAUGAUAUUUUGCACCGCAUGGUUCAAUAGUGAGAGACGGUCUUGCUGUCACUUCUAGAUGGAUCCGCGCUGCAUUAGCUAGUUGGUACGGUCACGGCCUACCACGGCAACUAUGCGUAGCCGACCUGACAGGGGGAUCGCCCACCCGGGAAGGUGAACACGGUCCAGACUCCUACGGUAGGCAGCAGUAGGGAAGCGGCCGCAAUGGUCGAGAGCCUGACGGAGCAGCGCCGCGUGAGUGAUGAAGGUCUUCCGAUCGUAAUACUCUGUUAUGAGUGAAGAACAGAUGUGUAAGUAGCUGUGCACUUCUUGACGGUACUUGAUAAGAAAGCCACGGCUAACUACGUG